RNAcentral lists this transfer RNA (72 nucleotides) under Sus scrofa (pig). It matches the Rfam family "tRNA". From Rfam's summary of the family: Transfer RNA (tRNA) molecules are approximately 80 nucleotides in length. Their secondary structure includes four short double-helical elements and three loops (D, anti-codon, and T loops). Further hydrogen bonds mediate the characteristic L-shaped molecular structure. tRNAs have two regions of fundamental functional importance: the anti-codon, which is responsible for specific mRNA codon recognition, and the 3' end, to which the tRNAs corresponding amino acid is attached (by aminoacyl-tRNA synthetases). tRNAs cope with the degeneracy of the genetic code in two manners: having more than one tRNA (with a specific anti-codon) for a particular amino acid; and 'wobble' base-pairing, i.e. permitting non-standard base-pairing at the 3rd anti-codon position. The record is from Rfam by way of RNAcentral. Lineage: Eukaryota; Metazoa; Chordata; Mammalia; Artiodactyla; Suidae.
UCUCAGGUGAUCUAGUGGUUAGGACUCAGCACUUUCAUCUCUGCAGCUCAGGUUCAAUUCCUGGUCUGGGAA